This 432-nucleotide long non-coding RNA is filed under the name Mytilus galloprovincialis (Mediterranean mussel). The record is from RNAcentral. Lineage: Eukaryota; Metazoa; Mollusca; Bivalvia; Mytilida; Mytilidae.
GAUAAGUUCCAGGUCGACGGGUUCAAACAGAAAUAUUUUGAAAGCAGAGAACACUGUGCAUCUUAUAAUCGGCAUGACUUAUCAGAUGACAAUCCAAUACUAAAAUAAGGCUUACGCAUAGUUAUAUACUUUAAUUCAGUCGCGGACCAGCGAUAUCACGGGUGUGUUCUAGUGUGUACUAAGUUUCAAGUUGAUUGAACUUCAACUUUAUCAACCAGAUGCUCCACAGGGCGCAGCUUUAUACGACCGCAGAGUUCGAACCCUGAACAGUUGGGGCAAGUAUAGACACAACAUUCAAGCUUGAUACAGCUCUGAAUUUGGAUUGUGAUUAAAUAAUUGACACAACAUAGGUUUCUGACACAGAAUGAAUGUGGUCUAAGAACUUAAAAAAAUUUAAAUUGGACAUUUACCUAUUAUGGUCUAAUAUCCAAA